ACACGUAGGGGGCGAGCGUUGUUCGGAAUCAUUGGGCGUAAAGGGCGUGCAGGCGGUCCUGCAAGUCCGGCGUGAAAGACCCCGGCCCAACCGGGGGGACGCGCUGGAAACUGCGGGGCUUGAGUACAGGAGGGGAUGCCGGAAUUCCAGGUGUAGGGGGGAAAUAUGUAGAUAUCUGGAAGAACACCAAUGGCGAAGGCAGGCAUCUGGCCAUGUACUGACGCUGAGACGCGAAGGUGCGGGGAGCAAACAGGUUUAGAUACCCUGGUAGUCCGCACAGUAAACGAUGUGCACCAGGUGGCGGGGGGUCGACCCUCGGUACCGUAGCUAACGCAUUAAGUGCACCGCCUGGGGAGUAUGCUCGCAAGGGUGAAACUCAAAGGAAUUGACGGGG
RNAcentral lists this ribosomal RNA (394 nucleotides) under uncultured bacterium. Its description in RNAcentral is "partial 16S ribosomal RNA". It matches the Rfam family "Bacterial small subunit ribosomal RNA", at positions 523 to 918 of the family's 1533-position model. The record is from RNAcentral.